Molecule: long non-coding RNA, 2604 nt
Organism: Homo sapiens (human)
Lineage: Eukaryota; Metazoa; Chordata; Mammalia; Primates; Hominidae
Gene: LINC-ROR
Product: long intergenic non-protein coding RNA, regulator of reprogramming
Source: Ensembl
GGUGAAAUAAACAGCCAUGUUGCUCACACAAAGCCUGUUUGGUGGUCUCUUCACACGGACGCUCAUGAAAUUUGGUGAUGUGACUCGGAUAGGGGGACCUCCCUUGGGAGAUCAGUACCCUGUCCUCCUGCUCUUUGCUCCGUGAGAAAGAUCCACCUACAACCUCAGGUCCUUAGACCAACCAGCCCAAGAAACAUCUCACCAAUUUCAAAUCCAGACCCCACUGGAAAUCGGACUGUCCAACUCACCUGACAGCCACUCCCACAGCCGCUGGAACUCUGGCCCAAGGCUCUCUGACUCCUUCCCAGAUCUUCUUGGCUUAGCGGCUGAAGACUGACGCUGCCCGAUCGCCUCGGAAGCCCCCUAGACCAUCACGGACGCCGAGCUUCGGGUAACUCUCACAGUGGAAGAAACACAACUACAGAUUUCUACCUGGUGCAUGGCCAUCGCUCAUGAAGACUACAACUUCCAGCUUCCUUUGAAGAAAAAGAGGACUUGAUGGCAUUGUCGCUAAGUAAGAAAUAAUGUGUGUGACUUCAGGGUUGCCCCCUUAAAGGGAGGGGACAUUUUCCAUCCUGCUGUUCAGAGUAUGGAUGUGAUGAGAGACAUCUUGGAUGAUGCAGAGGAGGUGAACACCCCAGGACAAUGAAACCACAGGAGAGAAAGAGCCUGCGCUGGCCCAUCUAGCACAGCCACUGGACACAGGGACCACCUGCCUCUGCACUCUUAUGGAAGGAGGAAAUCUAACUUUCCCAGUUUAAGGCACUGUUACUUUGGGCUCCUGUUACAUAACUGUGGCAGAAUGAAGGUUCAACAUGGAAACUGGCAAUGUUGAAGAAACAUAAAGUUCAUUGCUUGAAUAUCUGAAGUUGUGGACUCAAUCUCAUACCUGCUCCACUUAUGAGUUAUAGUUCUUCCAGGUCUCAGGAAUGGGAUCAGCAGGUCUCAGGGUUGUACUCUCCUGGAUCUCUCACCAGCCACCUCAAACCAGCUGCCAUAGCCUGUCCACUUCCACUCCAAUCUUCUCUUCCUUCAUCACCUCCCUUGCACACCCUGAUAACCUCGAAAGAGAACUCUUCCCAAGGCUCUGUUCCAAACACAUCGCCACUCUGCUUAGAACCUUCAAUGACUCCUCAUGGCCUAGGAGGUUUCUCUCCCAUCUGGAUCCAGCUGACGUUCCCAGCACCUUCUCCUGACUCCUGUCUUUUCUUGAACCAGUUCUGCCCAACAAGGAGGAAAGGGCUGACAGAGUGAAAGUCCCAGGGCAUGUGGGAAUGUGACUCUUUUCACUUUAAAUUCUAUGACUGGAAAGUUUUGGGCAGAGUUGGACAUGUGCACUUAGCUUCCAGAAGACAGAAUCCUUUUAAAAGAGUCAGAGAAAACACUGGCUUCCUGCCAUGACAUGAGAUACAGACAGGAGAGUUGGGAAGCUUUUUAAAGAUGGCACUAUGACUACAAUCACAGAAACUCUCCAUGAGGAAGUAAAAGAAAGCACCUGCAACACUCCAGCUAUGCAGACCACUCUGUAAUGGGCUCAGAUCUGGACAGGUGUGUGGAAAGGUGGGUCAACAGGUCAGGCGUCACAGACUUGGAACAUUCAUGGUGGAAAAGAAAAAGCCCCAAAGAAGAGACUUCAGGAUAAAUGAGAAAAUACUCAAGACAGCAAAAGUCUCUUUUAGAAAUGUUGGAGAAAGAACACUUAAUGUCAGGAGUUACUGUUGAUUGAUGGCCUUACUGUGUAGCAGGUGAGAAACCCAUUGUUCAGUUCCCUAAAGUCACCCUAUUCUCCCAAUCAUCCUAUGGAGGGGGAACCAUGAUGGUUAUCCCCAUCUUAUAAAUAAAGCAACAGAGGCUUAGAAGGACGAACUCUUUUUCUCAAGGUUACCCAGAUCAUUUUGCAGAAGUCCCUAGAUUUGAAUCAUGCUCUUGCUUUGAGGUUAAAGACACAGGGGAAGUCGAACUCCUUAUCUCCUAUAUCCUGAAUAGGGAAAACCAAACAUUGUCAAGAGGAGAGGAAGCCUGAGAGUUGGCAUGAAUCAGAGUGCUGGGCAGUCUGGAGUCUUCCCCACUGAGUUGAUGAUGGAACAGUAGAGUGGGGCCUGAGCCCCGUUAGGGCAUGAGCUGCUGAAUGAUUCAUGUGAACACCAUGCACAUGGGAGUGAGGUUUUGAGCAGUGUGCCACAGGAGCCUACCCUCAGGCCCCACCAUAAAAUGUAGGGCCAGUCCUACAUUUUAUCAAUGACUUGCGUGAACACAGAAAAUGUGGAUACAACCAAAAGGUAACAAUCCAAUUAAAAAAUGGACAAAAAACUUGAAUAAACAUUUCUCAAAAGAAGAUAUACAAAUGAUCAAAAAGCAUAUGAAAAAAUGCUCAACAUCGCUAAUUGUAAGAGAAAUGCAAAUCAAAACUAUAAUGAGAUACCACCUUAUAUUGAUUAGGAAGACUGCUAUAAAAAUAGUAAACAAACAAACAAACAAAGUAAGUCUUGGGGAGGAUGCAGAGAAAUUAAAAUUUUUGUGCACUGUUAGUGGGAAUGUAAAAUGGUGCAGCUGUUACGGGAAACGGUAUGACAGUUCCUCAAAAAAUAAAAUGUAGAAACAGCA